UGCGUAGGGUGCGAGCGUUAAUCGGAAUUACUGGGCGUAAAGCGUGCGCAGGCGGUUCGUUGUGUCGGCGGUGAAAGCCCCGGGCUCAACCUGGGAAUGGCCGUUGAAACUGGCGAACUGGAGUGUGGCAGAGGGGGGUGGAAUUCCGCGUGUAGCAGUGAAAUGCGUAGAGAUGCGGAGGAACACCGAUGGCGAAGGCAGCCCCCUGGGCUGACACUGACGCUCAGGCACGAAAGCGUGGGGAGCAAACAGG
Molecule: ribosomal RNA, 253 nt
Filed under: uncultured bacterium
Lineage: Bacteria
Description: partial 16S ribosomal RNA
Rfam family: Bacterial small subunit ribosomal RNA
Source: RNAcentral